Molecule: ribosomal RNA, 433 nt
Filed under: uncultured bacterium
Lineage: Bacteria
Description: partial 16S ribosomal RNA
Rfam family: Bacterial small subunit ribosomal RNA
Source: RNAcentral
GGGGGGGGGGGGGGGGGGGGCGGGGGCAGGGGGGUCGGGCGGGGGGUGGGGGGCUGGGGGCGGGGGGGGGCGUAGCGGGGGGGGACCUGCCCGUGGGUUCGGAAUAACUCCCCGAAAGGGGUGCUAAUACCGGAUAAUGGCGUCGGACCAAAGAUUUAUCGCCUUUGGAUGGGCCCGCGUUGGAUUAGCUAGUUGGUAGGGUAAAAGCCUACCAAGGCGACGAUCCAUAGCUGGUCUGAGAGGAUGAUCAGCCACACUGGGACUGAGACACGGCCCAGACUCCUACGGGAGGCAGCAGUGGGGAAUAUUGGACAAUGGGCGAAAGCCUGAUCCAGCAAUGCCGCGUGAGUGAUGAAGGCCUUAGGGUUGUAAAGCUCUUUUACCCGGGAUGAUAAUGACAGUACCGGGAGAAUAAGCGCCGGCUAACUCCGUG